UGCGUAGGCGGCGCGGAAAGUCAGGGGUGAAAUCCCGGAGCUCAACUCCGGAACUGCCUUUGAUACUCCCGCGCUUGAGAACUGGAGGGGAGACCGGAAUUCGACGGUGGAGCAGUGAAAUGCGUGGAUAUCGUGAGGAACACUAGUGGCGAAGGCGGGUCUCUGGACAGUAUCUGACGCUGAGGCACGAAGGCCAGGGGAGCGAACG
RNAcentral lists this ribosomal RNA (208 nucleotides) under uncultured bacterium. RNAcentral describes it as "partial 16S ribosomal RNA". It matches the Rfam family "Bacterial small subunit ribosomal RNA", at positions 568 to 774 of the family's 1533-position model. The record is from RNAcentral.